Long non-coding RNA from Panicum virgatum (switchgrass), 941 nucleotides. RefSeq lists it as uncharacterized. The transcript is spliced from 3 exons. The record is from RefSeq and is a predicted model, not a curated record. Lineage: Eukaryota; Viridiplantae; Streptophyta; Magnoliopsida; Poales; Poaceae.
UGUUCUCCUGUUGACGAUUACAGAUGGAGAUGCUCGCUUGCUAUGCCAAAUUAUCAGAUAUCUUGAUCAUCAGUUAUCAGUGAAGUGUUCUGAAAUAUUCAGUUUGGGUGAGUGCAAAUGAUUUAACUGCAUCACCUAAAGGAUCGUAGCAGAUUAUAUGCCACAGUCCACAGGCUAUAGGAGCAACUUAAGCAAAGAGAGUGGACUGUCAUUUUCUAAUGGAUGAAAUUCACCGACCUCUGUUCGUAGAUAAAAUGAACUGAUCCUGCCCUUUCUUCACACCUAGAACGACCUGAACUGGAGGCAAGCGGCAAGCCAAUGCCCUACCAACAUGACAUUCAUUUUUCAGACAAGAAAAGUCCAUCAUAGAGAUGAAGUGGCACACCUCUCCAAUAAUAUUUGUGCUAUUGGCAUUGUUUCUCAACUUGGACAUUAAAGUCGACGUGGUUGUAUGCUACAACCAGGACUCAGUUCACUUGGAUGCGAAGCUCUAUGCGAUGAUCAAGGGCCAGCUUAGCUUAUGCAAAUGACCAUGAGGUUCCACCUACUUUCACGCAAGAACUCCACUAUCUGAACAAGGAGGACAGGCUGCUUCGCUGGCUGGUUGGGAAGCAUGGAGACAUGGUAUACGGUCUGGAGUUCAUCAACGUGGAUGAUGGGAGGAACAAGAUGAGCGGGAUAUCGAAAUCGGCUCCGAUGAACCCGAAUUUGAGUUCCUCUGAUGGCUACAAGUUGUUCGAGGGGGAAGAAGAGAAGUAGAAUUGCCUGUCCAGGCUUCUGCAGUUUCAGUCUGUAUUGGUAUCUCUCGACCGUCGUGGCUUCCGCGCGGUUUUCUAUUGCUUGCGGUUUGCAUCAAUAACUUGGAAUGGUUUUAGUAAGAUAGAUUGGUGAUAUUACCCUUAUUGUGAAGUCUAAUGGUGAUUUUGCUCUCAGUUUUUAAA